Molecule: ribosomal RNA, 577 nt
Filed under: Fusarium solani
Lineage: Eukaryota; Fungi; Ascomycota; Sordariomycetes; Hypocreales; Nectriaceae
Description: eukaryotic LSU rRNA
Rfam family: Eukaryotic large subunit ribosomal RNA
Source: RNAcentral
UUGACCUCGAAUCAGGUAGGAAUACCCGCUGAACUUAAGCAUAUCAAUAAGCGGAGGAAAAGAAACCAACAGGGAUUGCCCCAGUAACGGCGAGUGAAGCGGCAACAGCUCAAAUUUGAAAUCUGGCUCUCGGGCCCGAGUUGUAAUUUGUAGAGGAUGCUUUUGGUGAGGUGCCUUCCGAGUUCCCUGGAACGGGACGCCAUAGAGGGUGAGAGCCCCGUCUGGUUGGACACCGAUCCUCUGUAAAGCUCCUUCGACGAGUCGAGUAGUUUGGGAAUGCUGCUCUAAAUGGGAGGUAUAUGUCUUCUAAAGCUAAAUACCGGCCAGAGACCGAUAGCGCACAAGUAGAGUGAUCGAAAGAUGAAAAGAACUUUGAAAAGAGAGUUAAAAAGUACGUGAAAUUGUUGAAAGGGAAGCGCUUGUGACCAGACUUGGGCUUGGUUGAUCAUCCGGGGUUCUCCCCGGUGCACUCUUCCGGCUCAGGCCAGCAUCAGUUCGCCCUGGGGGAUAAAGGCUUCGGGAAUGUGGCUCUCUCCGGGGAGUGUUAUAGCCCGCUGCGUAAUACCCUGUGGCGGAC